This 253-nucleotide ribosomal RNA is filed under the name uncultured bacterium. Its description in RNAcentral is "partial 16S ribosomal RNA". It matches the Rfam family "Bacterial small subunit ribosomal RNA", at positions 524 to 776 of the family's 1533-position model. The record is from RNAcentral.
UACGUAGGUGGCAAGCGUUAUCCGGAUUUAUUGGGUGUAAAGGGCGUGUAGGCGGGAGCGCAAGUCAGAUGUGAAAACUCAAGGCUCAACCCUGAGCCUGCAUUUGAAACUGUGUUUCUUGAGUGCUGGAGAGGCAAUCGGAAUUCCGUGUGUAGCGGUGAAAUGCGUAGAUAUACAGAGGAACACCAGUGGCGAAGGCGGAUUGCUGGACAGUAACUGACGCUGAGGCGCGAAAGCGUGGGGAGCAAACAGG